RNAcentral lists this long non-coding RNA (1803 nucleotides) under Bemisia tabaci. RNAcentral's name for it is "lncRNA ENSSSA1UGG003531". Lineage: Eukaryota; Metazoa; Arthropoda; Insecta; Hemiptera; Aleyrodidae. The record is from RNAcentral.
CCACACUUUCACACAAAGCCUUCAAACCCGUUCUCUUAUGCAAAUUUUCGAACUUUAAAUUAUGACAGCUCCUUGCCCUGUGGGCUUUGUUUCUGGAUUAGUUACAUGACUUUACUUCCUCACUUCUUCAUGCUCCUUAUACAGAGUCCAUACUUAUUCAUAGGCCUCACUAUUUCAACGUCUGAUUUACUUUGUUUAAAACUUGAUUUACUUUGGAGAAAAGGUCAUCAGUUCACGGUCGGGUGACGAGCCGUCAAAAGAAAUCCGAUCGAGUUCCAUACACGGAUCUUCCUGCCGCCUUUUGUUGCCAACUUGCGCGCUGUAAAUUCCGUACCUUAGUGAGAUGGUUUUUAAACUUAUACAUGCUGCUAAUUUCAAUAGAGAUUUGCCAUGCGGAUGAGACCUGUAAAUAGUUUCUUUUUGCAAGAUUGUUCCUCCUUUCGAUUAAAAUUAGAGGCCUAGUUUGUCUAUCUUCAACUCCAAGGAUUUUUGUAGUCCUAUUCGUAAACUUACAAUUAAAAAAAGUCAUUUACUGCCUUAGUCUCUACUUUGUUUCAUCUUGAAAUAAUCAAGUAUACAUUUAAUUUGCACUAAUAUUUUAGACUGCUGAAAGGUUUUAAUACUGUGAGGGGUAGUUAAAUGUUUCACUUUUCAAUUAGAUCCGAGAAAAACUUUAUGAAUACACGUAAAAUUUAGAAACAUUUGGGGAUAUGUUUAAGAAUUAAAAAUCCGAUUUAUAGUAGAAUGUUAAAGCAACGUAUAUAGAGUGACGGAAAAAUUAUCUCCUCUAAGGAUGUUACUGUUCUUCUGAGGACAAAAAACAGUUCGCCUUUUAUCUCUUAGACGGUUGUCUAGGUUGCCUCGCAUGUUUCCCCUUCAAAAUUCUCUAAUUAAUGAAUGCGCUUUUUUUCUUCACUACAUAUUUUCUCUGGGACGCAAAAAAGUAAAGUUAACCUUGCACAUUUCUCCUACUGCCCUACUCCUCAUGUACGAUGAUACCAACCGUAGCUCCCACAUUUUUCUCUUCAUUCACUUCAUAUUUCCCUUGAGGCGCGAGAGACGUAUCUUUUUGUACUCCUGGAAAAAAAAAAAACAAUGAGACUCAGGUGCCAGGGUGUUUCCAUUUGCUCGAUUUCACUGCGUGUUAAACUAGAAUCUCGCGUCGUGUUUGAAGGUAGCGUACAUCCGUAUGUGAGGAAUUUUAAGAAUAUGAAUCCGUCCACCUCGUACGUAUCAAGCCGUCAGAUAUCUCGUCUCAUCUCUGCACCUUGCGAGAUUAAUUAUUGUAGUGGAUAAUAUUAUUGAGAAUAAAAAACGGCUCCCAGAACAUUUUUUGAUGCGUCGACGAACAAUAAUACUGCCUUGCUUACAUCAAAAUUGGUUAGAGCAUGGAUAUUAUUCAUUGUUUCCUGUAAAUGAACAAAUUCAUCGUUGUGAAUUUGAGACCACUCCCAUCAAUUCUCUUUCUUGAGCAAUUUCCAUAAAUUGUGUGUUUUUUCUGACAAAUGGACUGCAUUUUGCAAUUAGGAGAUAUAAAUUCCGGCCCGGUUUAAUAACAACGUAUGUGCCAUUAGUUUCCCUAUGCACAUACGUGUUUUUUCAGAUGAGUUGGAAUUUAUAGGUCCAAAUUGCAAAGUGCAGUCCAAAUUAGGUAUGGACAAUCGCAAGUAAUUGACAACACCCAAAUCUCUCUACAACUCCGUUAUUAGGUUGGAGGCGGCAUUUUUUGUAUGAUGGCUUCAAAAAAUGUGCCUCCAAUUGAAAGUGACUGAAUCCAAGUCUGUCAAAACUUCUUAAUUUUUU